AUGGGAACAAGGAUGACAGUCAUGCGGCGAUUGCCUGUCGCGCUGUCCUCGGCAUUGCUCGAGUGGAUUUUGAUGCUUCUGCUAUUCAUCGACGCAGUUUACUCCUUCCUCAUCACCAGAUUUGCCCGUCUCUGCAAACUACCGGUACCUUGCCCGUUCUGUUCAAGGCUAGAUCAUGUCCUCGGCAAUGAGGAACCCUGCUUCUACAGGGAAUUGAUCUGCAAAACUCACAAGUCAGAGCUCUCGUCUUUGGCCUUCUGUCGCCUCCACCAGAAACUUGUGGGCGCGGAAAGUAUGUGUGAUGGAUGCAGCAGUAGCUCACUUGCUCCAAAAGUGACACCAAACAACAAUGACAACACAGAUGAGCCCGCCGUGGAUGUCGAUGUACUCAACGGUACUCAGGGAGGUGAUGGUGUGUUACAUUCUCCUCUUACUAGAAUGUGUUCAUGUUGUGCACAACAUUUUGAACAACGGAGUGUAUCGCUGUUUUCUCAGAAGAGUGGAGAGCUCCAGUAUGCUAAGUCACCAAAGAUUUGCACGGAUUAUCCUGUAUCAUGGCAACUGGACGAAUCAUUUGAAACCAAUGACAUCUACCACCAGAGUGAUCAUACAUCUCAUGAGAGAUACAGUGCUCUACAGAUGACAUCUGACUCCGAGGUUGAGGUUCCUUGUGCUGAUGAUGCCAGAGAUUCUCACCCUCAUGAAGCCUAUGAUAUGGAAGAGAGAGACUUUCAGGAAGAUGCAGUUUUUGAGAUACCAGGCGUUCCACACCCUGAGGUGGCCAAGCCAUCUGAAAUGAAUGUUCAGGAAGAACAAAAAGCGACUGACUCUGGUGAUGCAUCUUCGGCGGAUCCUGUUCCAAAUUAUGAUCCUGAGAGUGUGAUUAGUGGGAGCCAAAUGGGGGCAGAGGACAUCUCAUCCAGAAGACGAGCAUCACGGCAUGACCCUCUUAUUGCCAUUGAAGAGUUAUCUUUAGAAGAUGCCACCGUUCCCCAAAUUCCAGUUGCAUCAAUUGAUGAGUUACCUAAGAUUCUUGGUGAAACUGAAUCAUAUGAGAUGACAAGUGACAGCAUCAUUGAUCCAUAUACAUCUCAAUUGACAAUACUCGAACAACACUAUGCUGUUGCAGCGGACAAAAAUAUAAAAGAAGAAGCUCAGGGGGGAGAAAUCACUGCUAUAUCAAGUGGCAUGUUUCACCAGAGAAGCACAUUGGCUAAUGAUCCAGUUACAAGUGAACCAGUACCCAAGGACUAUCACUAUGUUGCUUCAGAAGAUAAUUUUGGGGAUAUCCCCGUUUCACAGGUUAGUGCCGAUUCAGAAACUCUUGCUGAAGUUGAAGAUAAUCCUAAAAAGGCCGAAUCGAUCGGUGAUACGGGAAUAGAUGGACUAACAUCACAAGAUCCUUCCAGUUCAGCUUUCAAAGAUUUGGUAUCAAAAGGUGCGAAAGAGGCUCAUAUUCCACCAGUUGCUGUCAGAUCAAAUGGUGAGGUAUCUCAGGGUCUUGAUGCAAUUGAGGAACAUCCCCAAACAAUUGAAACGGUUGGUGAAAGGAGACCAUCUCUUAGCACACAGAUUAGCAUGAACGAAGCCUACAAUCUUGCCAUUGGUAUGAGGAGUGGUUUCCCAUCCCCAACCUUGACAGAUGUGAUUCUUGGAAAGGGCUCUUCGGCUAGUGUAAAUGGAGAAUUGAGGCUACUACUAUCGCAACUCUCGGCUUCCAGGGGGCUCGAGGCAACUUGGCUUGACCCAGGCCCUAGCCCACGCGCGUAUGGGCGUGGCGAUGAUCUGAUAGUGCAGAACAUAACAAGAAGAAUCUCGCUCGAGAGAAAUGUUUCUGGCCUGGAAUCGCUGGACGGAAGCAUUGUUAGCGAGAUGGAAGGUGAGAGCACCAUCGACCUGCUGAGACGACAGAUUGAUCUAGACCGGAAGUCGAUACACCUCCUCUGCAGGGAGCUGGAGGAAGAGAGGAAUGCUGCAGCGAUCGCUGCAAACCAAGCACUGGCCAUGAUCACCAGGCUGCAGGAUGAGAAGGCUGCAAUGCAGAUGGAAGCCUCUCAUUACCAGAGGAUGAUGGAGGAGCAAGCAGAGUACGAUGGCGAAGCGCUCGCUGAAGCUAACGAGCUGCUUGCUCAAAGAGAAGAUCAAAUACAGGAAUUGGAAGCCGAGCUUGAAAAGUGCAGGACACAGUCUGCAGGUGGAGGGCCAACAGAGAAAGAAGACAAUCAGCUCCCCUUUGAAGAACAACAUAGCACUGUAGCUUUGCUUGAAGAUGAGAGGGCAUACAUAUCAGAAAGUUUGAGGAAGCUGGAGAAGAAACUUCACUUGUACUCCAACAACAAUACUUCAACAGAUUUAUCAAAUUCAGAUGCUAUAGAGGAGACACAAGAGUCCAUUCUCUUGGCUAAGGAAGGUCAAUCUUCUAGAAUGGAUGGGGAGGCUGACCUAUCCACAUUUCAAGAGGAAAUCUCGAGCUUGAAUAAAAGAUUGAAGACUCUAGAAGGAGACCGGGAUUUCCUCGAGCACAGCAUAAACUCCCUUAAGAAUGGAAAAGAAGGUGCGCAAUUCAUAAGGGAAAUUGCCUGCAACCUCAGAGAACUCCGAGCUAUUGCCAUUGAGAGCAAAUAG
RNAcentral lists this ribosomal RNA (2625 nucleotides) under Triticum aestivum (bread wheat). Its description in RNAcentral is "partial small subunit ribosomal RNA". Lineage: Eukaryota; Viridiplantae; Streptophyta; Magnoliopsida; Poales; Poaceae. The record is from RNAcentral.